Molecule: ribosomal RNA, 424 nt
Filed under: uncultured fungus
Lineage: Eukaryota; Fungi
Description: partial small subunit ribosomal RNA
Rfam family: Eukaryotic small subunit ribosomal RNA
Source: RNAcentral
GCUUGUCUCAAAGAUUAAGCCAUGCAUGUCUAAGUACAAGCCGCUAGUUCGGCGAAACCGCGAAUGGCUCAAUAAAUCAGUUAUGGUUCCUUAGAUCCACUCCAUCCUACUUGGAUAACUGUGGUAAUUCUAGAGCUAAUGCCUGAAAAACGUGUGAAUUUAGUAGCACAAAUACUAGAGUAUGGAUGAGUCCGCUCUAUUCAGGAGGGUUUUCCCUCUGUUGACCAUCGAGUUCGAGGGUUGAAUACUUAGGCUUCGGCUUCUGUUGAAAGCUUUAUCGGUGGCCGGGAAGAUAUGUUUCUAAUCUAUUAGCCAGACUAUUGGGUAAGGUCCAAUUUUCGGCUAUAAUGGAUACAGGGGAUCGGUGUCCGACUCUGGAGAGAGAGCCUGAGAAACGGCUAUCACAUCUAAGGAAGGCAGCAGG